AUUGAAAAACUUCAGCACUAUGAAUAAUCUUUGCAAAAUCAUUGGUGGGUAUGUAAAAGCUUCUUGUUUACACACAACUGAAAGCCAAUUUAGUCACAGUUGGUAUGAUGUAAAUCUGCUGUUUUGGCAUUUUAGAAAUUCCCAUCCAAAGCAAGAUGGGGCAUAAAGUUAUCGCUAAGGAAUUUUAUCCUGCUCUAUAUUGUUCUUGAUGCACCUACUUUGGUGCAUAAAGUUGCUAAUGUCACUGCUUUAUGGUCAUGAUGUGUCUAUAUUUUGUUGGCUUGUAGUCCAAUGAUGCGUUUACCCUUAUUAAUUUUGUCAGGUCACAAUCUACAGUGUUAGAUGAGAUGCACCUCACCAGGCUAAAGGAUGUACCGAUUACUCAAUUAUUUUGUGUGGAUGUUGCACUUGUCCUUGAGAAGACGAAGCAUCACCAAACAUAUCAAUUCCACCCGAGGCAGAUGCAAGUGAAGGCGGCUCAGGACUCAUGCUCAUUACUUCGUUGGUGCUGUCAUGUCAUGAAACGGAUGAUUGCAGAUUACCGAACAUUACCUGUUGGGAAGAAAAAAAAAUGGUGCUCUUGCAUUGGACACAAUUACAAGUUGGCAGUAUCUUAUGCCUUUGGCAAUUCCUUUGUGGUCCAUACCAGAGUGCUCAUUGCAUCUAAAAUGGUAAAGUGAAUGGGUGCUGUGGCAUUCAGGUGACCUUAUUCUCUUGUAUUCAUAUCCCUUUAAUGAAGAAACUUGUCUUCAGAGACUGCAACUCUCUAAAGUGUACUUGGACAGUUGAGCUAUCAUCACUUGCAUUA
Molecule: long non-coding RNA, 808 nt
Organism: Sorghum bicolor (sorghum)
Lineage: Eukaryota; Viridiplantae; Streptophyta; Magnoliopsida; Poales; Poaceae
Exons: 2
Source: RefSeq, a predicted model, not a curated record